UAAUGAUGGAGAGUUUGAUCCUGGCUCAGGACGAACGCUGGCGGCGUGGAUUAGGCAUGCAAGUCGAACGGUAUAAACCUUUCGGGGUUUAGAGAGUGGCGAACGGGUGAGUAACACGUAGGUAAUCUACCCUCAAAACGGGGACAACCCAGGGAAACUUGGGCUAAUACCGGAUGCGUGCAAGCAAUGUUUUGGCUGUUAAUGCUAUUCACGGAAGUGAGUAGUGUUAAUGGUUGAGAGCAUUAUUUGCAUAAAAGGUGGCAUUUGCUGCCGUUUGAGGAUGAGCCUGCGUCCUAUUAGUUAGUUGGUGAGGUAAUGGCUUACCAAGGCGAUGAUAGGUAGGCGGCCUUAACGGGUGGUCGCCCACACUGGGAUUGAGAGACGGCCCAGACUCCUACGGGAGGCAGCAGUCGAGAAUAGUCUACAAUGGACGGAAGUCUGAUAGUGCGACGCCGCGUGAACGAAGAAUCCCUUCGGGGUGUAAAGUUCUUUUAUAUGUGAGCAGUGCCCUUUAUAUUAAUAGUAUAGAGGGAGGGAUUUAAGCGUAUGAAUAAGCAACGGCUAACUCCGUGCCAGCAGCCGCGGUAACACGGGGGUUGCAAGCGUUGUCCGGAAUUACUAGGCGUAAAGUGCAGGUAGGCGGAUAGAUAAGUUUAAGGUUAAAGGCUACGGCUUACCCGUAGUAAGGCGUUAGAUACUGUUUAUCUGGAAUGCGGUUGAGGGAGACAGAAUUCCUGGUGUAGCGGUGGAAUGCGCAGAGAUCAGGAGGAAUACCGAAGGCGAAGGCAGUCUUCUAAGCCGAUAUUGACGCUAAACUGCGAAGGUGUGGGGAUCAAACAGGAUUAGAUACCCUGGUAGUCCACACAGUAAACGAUAAUCACUAGGUGUUGGGUUCGUAUAGGACUCGGUGCCGGAGCUAACGCGAUAAGUGAUUCGCCUGGGGAGUACGAUCGCAAGGUUGAAACUCAAAGGAAUUGACGGGGGCCCGCACAAGCGGUGGAGCAUGUGGUUUAAUUCGACGCAACGCGAAGAACCUUACCCGGUCUUGACAUCUGCAGAAUUCUUCAGAGAUGGAGGAGUGCCGGUUUGCCGGAGCUGCAAGACAGGUGCUGCAUGGCUGUCGUCAGCUCGUGUCGUGAGAUGUUGGGUUAAGUCCCGCAACGAGCGCAACCCCUGCUUUCAGUUGCCAUCAUUAAGUUGGGGACUCUGGAAGGACCGCUGCGGUAACAACGCAGAGGAAGAUGGGGACGAGGUCAAGUCAUCAUGGUCCUUAUGACCGGGGCUACACACGUGCUACAAUGGUAGUUACAGAGGGGAGCGAAGCAGUGAUGUGGAGCGAAUCUCAGAAAAGCUACCCAAGUUCGGAUUGAGGUCUGCAACUCGACCUCAUGAAGCCGGAAUCGCUAGUAAUCGCGCAACAUCAUGGUGCGGUGAAUACGUUCCCGGGCCUUGUACACACCGCCCGUCAAGUCAGCCGAGUGGAGUGCACCCGAAGGAGGUGAGCUAACCCGUGAGGGAAGCAGCUUUCGAAGGUGUGCUUUGCGAGGAGGACUAAGUCGUAACAAGGUAGCCGUACCGGAAGGUGCGGCUGGAUCACCUCCUUUAU
RNAcentral lists this ribosomal RNA (1606 nucleotides) under Candidatus Cloacimonas acidaminivorans str. Evry. RNAcentral's name for it is "Candidatus Cloacimonas acidaminovorans str. Evry 16S ribosomal RNA". It matches the Rfam family "Bacterial small subunit ribosomal RNA". Lineage: Bacteria; Pseudomonadati; Candidatus Cloacimonadota; Cloacimonadia (SeqCode); Cloacimonadales (SeqCode); Cloacimonadaceae (SeqCode). The record is from RNAcentral.